CACAGGAACUUAGCAUGACAUGCUUUNGAUGCUUCGGGAACUGUGAGACNGGUGCUGUAUGGCUGUCGUCAGCUCGUGUUGUGAAAUGUUGGGUUAAGUCCCGCAACGAGCGCAACCCUUUAUCGUUNGUUGCCAGCGGUUCAGGCCGGGAACUCAAAGGAGACUGCCAGUGAUAAACUGGAGGAAGGUGGGGAUGACGUCAAGUCAUCAUGGCCCUUACGACCAGGGCUACACACGUGCUACAAUGGCAUAUACAAAGAGAAGCGACCUCGCGAGAGCAAGCGGACCUCAUAAAGUAUGUCGUAGGGNCGGAUUGGAGUCUGCAACUCGACUCCAUGAAGUCGGAAUCGCUAGUAAUCGUAGAUCAGAAUGCUACGGUGAAUACGUUCCCGGGUCUUGUAC
RNAcentral lists this ribosomal RNA (402 nucleotides) under Klebsiella sp. LGI4SP. RNAcentral describes it as "bacterial SSU rRNA". It matches the Rfam family "Bacterial small subunit ribosomal RNA", at positions 989 to 1386 of the family's 1533-position model. Lineage: Bacteria; Pseudomonadati; Pseudomonadota; Gammaproteobacteria; Enterobacterales; Enterobacteriaceae. The record is from RNAcentral.